This is a long non-coding RNA of Rhipicephalus sanguineus (brown dog tick), 100 nucleotides long. RefSeq lists it as uncharacterized. The record is from RefSeq and is a predicted model, not a curated record. The transcript has 3 exons. Lineage: Eukaryota; Metazoa; Arthropoda; Arachnida; Ixodida; Ixodidae.
ACGAAAUGGCGCUAGUACCAAAAGGCCCAUCGAGUUUCCCCUCAGCUGGAAUCAAAGACGAGGCAGCGAGAGAUACCUCGAGACUCGCCGCAGCGGUGCU